AGUGAGCGCUGGCGGUAUGCCUAACACAUGCAAGUCGAACGGCAGCACAGUAAUAGCUUGCUCUUACGGGUUGCGAGUGGCGUACGUGUGAGGAAUAUAUCGGAAUCUACUUUUUCGUGUGGGAUAACGUAGGUAAACUUACGCUAAUACCGCAGACCAUCUACGGUGGAAAGCAUUGGAUCUUCUGACCUUUCGCGGUUGAAUUAGCCGAUGUCGGAUUAGCUAGUUGGCGGGGUAAAGGCCCACCAUGGCGACGAUCCGUAGCUGGUCUGAGAGGAUGAUAGGCGACAUGGGAGCGGAACCAGGGUCAAGAGUCCUGCGGGAGGCAGCAGAGGGGAAUAUUGGACAACAGGCGGAAGCAUGAUCCAGACAUCGCGCGUGGGUGAAGAAGGCCUUGGGGUUGUAAAGACCUUUUGUUGGGAAAGAAAAGCAGCAGGUUAAUACCACGCUGUUGUGACGGUAACGAAAGAAUAAGCACCGGCUAACUUCGUG
This 492-nucleotide ribosomal RNA is filed under the name uncultured bacterium. Its description in RNAcentral is "partial 16S ribosomal RNA". It matches the Rfam family "Bacterial small subunit ribosomal RNA", at positions 29 to 507 of the family's 1533-position model. The record is from RNAcentral.